This 301-nucleotide ribosomal RNA is filed under the name uncultured bacterium. RNAcentral's name for it is "partial 16S ribosomal RNA". It matches the Rfam family "Bacterial small subunit ribosomal RNA", at positions 509 to 807 of the family's 1533-position model. The record is from RNAcentral.
CAGCCGCCGCGGUAACACGUAGGGUGCGAGCGUUAAUCGGAAUUACUGGGCGUAAAGCGUGCGCAGGCGGUUGUGUAAGACAGGUGUGAAAUCCCCGGGCUUAACCUGGGAACUGCGCUUGUGACUGCACAGCUAGAGUAUGGCAGAGGGGGGUGGAAUUCCACGUGUAGCAGUGAAAUGCGUAGAGAUGUGGAGGAACACCGAUGGCGAAGGCAGCCCCCUGGGCCAAUACUGACGCUCAUGCACGAAAGCGUGGGGAGCAAACAGGAUUAGAUACCCCGGUAGUCCCUGUCUCUUAUAC